This 408-nucleotide ribosomal RNA is filed under the name Triticum aestivum (bread wheat). RNAcentral's name for it is "partial small subunit ribosomal RNA". Lineage: Eukaryota; Viridiplantae; Streptophyta; Magnoliopsida; Poales; Poaceae. The record is from RNAcentral.
UGGCUUGUGGAUCUGUGCAAGCAUUUCGAGUGCAGUAACGUCAGGCCUGAGGACUUUGUCAAGUUCGCUUCCUUCCAACUCAAAGAUCAAGCUGCAGAAUGGUUCCAGCAGUACAAGGACUCCAGAGGUGGACGUGUUAUCACUUGGGAUGAAUUUCGUCAAGAUUUCAGAGCUCACCAUAUCCCUCAGAGCAUGGUUGAAAGCAAGCGUGAGGAAUUCCGCAACCUGAAGCAAGGCUCUUUGUCUGUCUAUGACUACAACAAGUUGUUUCAGAAGCUCUCCCGCUUUGCCAAGCAGGACGUACCUGAUGAGAAGAGCAUGAUAUACCAGUUCAGGGGUGGUCUCAGAGAAGAAAUUCAGCUAGCUCUUGUUCUCUUUGAGCCCUUGAGGUUUGAUGAGUUCUACAAC